This 201-nucleotide long non-coding RNA is filed under the name Lathyrus oleraceus (garden pea). Its description in RNAcentral is "Pisum sativum (pea) long non-coding RNA (PSAT_LNC029768)". The record is from RNAcentral. Lineage: Eukaryota; Viridiplantae; Streptophyta; Magnoliopsida; Fabales; Fabaceae.
UCUCUUGAGAUCAUAUUGAUGAUCCAAGUAGCUCCCAUCCUUUGGAAUAGGCAAUCACAAAAAACAUAAGCAAUCAUCAAAUAAGCCUCCUAAGAGAUCCUCAAUGUGUCUUGUAUCUUUCACUUUGGAUGAACAUGGCAAUGGUUUCUCAAAUUUGAGCUCUCAUAGAAUUCCCUAGCACAAAAGCACACACAUCAAAAG